Molecule: ribosomal RNA, 492 nt
Filed under: Afrixalus fornasini (leaf-folding frog)
Lineage: Eukaryota; Metazoa; Chordata; Amphibia; Anura; Hyperoliidae
Description: partial 12S ribosomal RNA
Rfam family: Bacterial small subunit ribosomal RNA
Source: RNAcentral
GCUUAGCCGUAAAAAAUUAAUUUACACCAAAACCGCCAGAGNAACUACGAGCGCAAGCUUAAAACUCAAAGGACUUGACGGUGUCCCAUCUACCUAGAGGAGCCUGUUCUAUAACCGAUGAUCCACGAUUAACCUCACCAUUUUUAGCUUUUCAGCCUGUAUACUUCCGUCGCAAGCUCACCAUGUGAAUGCAAUAGUGAGUUAAAUGAUUUAACAUCAAAACGUCAGGUCAAAGUGCAGCCAAUAAAAUGGAAAGAAAUGGGCUACAAUUUCUAACUUAGAACAUACGAAAUACCGUCUGAAACUCCGGUCAAGAAGGUGGAUUUAGAAGUAAAAUGAAAACAGAAAACUCAUUUUAAUACAGCCCUGGGACGUGUACACACCGCCCGUCACCCUCUUCGACGUAAUAAUUUUUAAUAAAUAAUUAANCCUUAAAAUAAAGAAGAGGCAAGUCGUAACAUGGUAAGCGUACUGGAAAGUGUGCUUGGNAAA